CUGUGCUUGGUGGUGGAUGGUAACAGGACAUCUCUGGAUAUCAACUGCUGGACUCUUCACCCUUUAUAUCCCGUAGGAUCUGCUACUUACUAUUAAGUCACUUUUGACUUGUAGUCCUUAUCUAACACUGUUUGGAUUCAGGACAGUCCAAGGCUUGUUGCUUUUGUCAUCAGGCUUUCAGAUUUCGCUGGGAGUGGAUAUGGUUGUCAGCUUGAUUGCUUUCACUUGAGUUGGACCCCUUUUUGGAUUUCUGCCGUUGACCUGGCCCGGUGACGGCGAGCGAUAUUCUUGUUGCUUCUCAAUCACAUCUUGAGCCACACACAUUCUUGGACACAUGGAAAAAUUUUAUUUUUAAAUAUCUUUGAUCUUAUUGUCUAUAAAUCCCCUGAAGAAGGGAGAAUUUCCGAAACAGCUGUUGGGUGUGACUCUAAGCAGCCUUGUGUUUCCUGUUCAAUUACGUAUUUGAAUGAUUUGUAUUCAUGAUGUACAUAUUUUUGAUACAAUUGGUAUACUAUGUGUAAUCAAUAAAAUGUGCUACUUUUUAUACAA
Rana temporaria (common frog) is the source of this 549-nucleotide long non-coding RNA. RefSeq lists it as uncharacterized. Lineage: Eukaryota; Metazoa; Chordata; Amphibia; Anura; Ranidae. The transcript is spliced from 4 exons. The record is from RefSeq and is a predicted model, not a curated record.